GACGAACGCUGGCGGCGUGCUUAACACAUGCAAGUCGUACGGUAAGGCCCUUUCGGGGGUACACGAGUGGCGCACGGGUGAGUAACACGUGAGUAACCUGCCCACAACUUUGGGAUAACGCUAGGAAACUGGUGCUAAUACUGGAUAUGUGCUCCUGCUGCAUGGUGGGGGUUGGAAAGCUCCGGCGGUUGUGGAUGGACUCGCGGCCUAUCAGCUUGUUGGUGGGGUAGUGGCCUACCAAGGCGGCGACGGGUAGCCGGCCUGAGAGGGUGACCGGCCACAUUGGGACUGAGAUACGGCCCAGACUCCUACGGGAGGCAGCAGUGGGGAAUAUUGCACAAUGGGCGCAAUCCUGAUGCAGCAACGCCGCGUGCGGGAGGACGGCCUUCGGGUUGUAAACCGCUUUCAGCAGGGACGAAGCUUUUUGUGACGGUACCUGCAGAAGAAGCACCGGCUAACUACGUG
RNAcentral lists this ribosomal RNA (465 nucleotides) under uncultured bacterium. Its description in RNAcentral is "partial 16S ribosomal RNA". It matches the Rfam family "Bacterial small subunit ribosomal RNA", at positions 28 to 507 of the family's 1533-position model. The record is from RNAcentral.